UCUGCCACCUGAAUUUCAAUUUCUUAAUUUACAGCCCAGAUAAAACAGAAUGGAGCAGGAUCUGGGCUGCUCUCUACAUUGGGUUGGCCUUAUCAAGCGUGAAGUUUGGCGCACUGCAAACCUAUUCAAGUGAUUAUCUGUUGAGGACCUCUCGAGCCAUCUCCAUCUCUGCAGCCCGCUGAUAAGACAGCUGUUUCUCUAGCCGCUGUGUCUCCCCGGGCCUCAGUCUUCUUCUGAUACAAACUCCGCUUUUGUCACCGUGCUCCGUCUCAUUUGGUCGCCUAAAUCUCCCUUUGAAUGCUCAGGAAUGACGUGAGUUUAUCCUGCUUAAAAGUUGCUUGUGAGUAAAAGGGGUGGAAAAGAUAUCUGAAGACAUUUGUGGGAACGUUUACAUAAAUGAUCUUCUAUCCGAAGUUGCAAAAUUUUUUUCCGGGACACUUGGGCACCUGCAACAUAUCUUAGACUAUCUGCAGACAAAUCAAAGGAAGAAUGAACCCUAUACAAAUUUUACCCAGGAGAAAAGAAAGAAGGAAAGAAAGAAAAGAAAAGAAGAGAAAGGAAGGUGGUGAUACAAGAAGGAAGAGCAAUCUAGAUUUUUUUUUUUUUUACCGCAACACAAGAUUACAUUUGAUUAAAAGUUUUAAACAGUC
Erinaceus europaeus (western European hedgehog) is the source of this 650-nucleotide long non-coding RNA. RefSeq lists it as uncharacterized. The record is from RefSeq and is a predicted model, not a curated record. The transcript has 2 exons. NCBI's taxonomy places the organism in Eukaryota, Metazoa, Chordata, Mammalia, Eulipotyphla, Erinaceidae.